Molecule: long non-coding RNA, 1441 nt
Organism: Talpa occidentalis (Iberian mole)
Lineage: Eukaryota; Metazoa; Chordata; Mammalia; Eulipotyphla; Talpidae
Exons: 4
Source: RefSeq, a predicted model, not a curated record
GUAAAAGACCAGGCGGUUUGAAAUUACUGGAAUUCAAGGUGUUCUUGGCUCCCACUAACAGUGGUGGAAGAAGUCAGUCAUCACUCAGCAGUGGAAAGUGCAUGAUCAGCCUUUGAACCCCCAGGCGCGGUUACUAGGAGGUCUCUCUAUUCAAGUAUAUACUUCACGUCUCAUCGAGUCUAUGCUUGCUUAUGGUCCCGCCUCUCUUUCUACGCUGCCCUGGAAAUCUAAGGUUACUGAGCUGGAGCAGUUUGGAGGCAGAAUGAUUGGUGAUCUGGAAAGUAACUCUCAGUGAUCUCUGUGAUUCAUAUGUCAACAAAAAGCUCGGAGCAGAAUGUUGGAGGUUUGCUUAAGGCCUUUUAGGGGAGUUAAUACAUUAAUGAUCUAAGGGACACAACUGAGCAUUCUAAAGGCUACAUUCUAAAUGGCUAACUGCAGCAACGGACUUUUCCCCAUUUAUAUUUUGUUUUUGGACUUCAAUUUCACUUCAUACUAGCAAGCAGUAAAACUAACUGGCUUCAUGAGUAACCUGACACCACGUGAGAAUCAGAUGAUCCCAUCUGGCUUGGUAGAUAUAGAAUUAGAAACUUUGCUAGAAAAUUCUGCCAUCUUUCUGUCACCGACACAAGAAUUUUGACCCAAUAUCCUCAUUUUCAUGUGCAUAUACACAUGUGCUCAGUAAGCAGAUACUUACCAUUGGUGAACAUAUCACAAAACGUUUCUCUGUAGCAUAAAGGAGAUGAAAUAAAUUUCAGUCAGAUAAUUCUGACUCUUAGAUUAUUAGCUAUGUGUUCUGAUAAAAAAAUAUUCAACCUAUUUGAGACUCAGUUUGUUUGAACUGCAAAAUAAAAUGGGAAUUUUUUUUUGUUUUCUCCAAAUUGAACUUCAACUUGGGUUACUAUAUUAAAAGCCAGUAUUUGCAUGGCCAUCAUCAAGUAAGUUUCAGCUACCUUGACGAGGAAAUAUGGAGCAGUCCAGAGACUACAUGGAGAGGGAGAAGGCCCAGUACAUCUCAGCCUUUCAGAUAUCUCCACUGAGGUACCAUGCAAUUGGACUGAGGUUACCCUAAACCCUUCAUACAAGUCCAGCCACCUGAUAAAUACCAAGAGUGACCCCAGGCGACAUCACAAGGAACAGAAAAAUUAUCCAGAGUUACCCUGCUUGAAUUCCUGAUGACAGAGUCAUCAGAUAUAAUAAGACAGCUAUUGUUUUGAGUCAGUCAGCUCUGGGGUAGUUAAGAACAAUUUGCACACGGCAGGCACUCAAGACUCAGGGUGACUGGCACCGAGGGGUUUCCUGGGGGGCAAGACUUCCAGUGUUCGAAACAGGAAAGUCACUCUUAAUACACACUGGAAGUCAUUGUUAUUUUAUACUAAAGCAGAAAUGAACAAUGAGGUGUUGACUUCAUUUCUAGCAAAACUACCCUAAAGCCAUCAAAGAA